UACGUAGGGGGCUAGCGUUGUCCGGAAUCAUUGGGCGUAAAGAGCGUGUAGGCGGCCCGGUAAGUCCGCUGUGAAAGUCGGGGGCUCAACCCUCGAAUGCCGGUGGAUACUGUCGGGCUAGAGUGCGGAAGAGGCGAGUGGAAUUCCUGGUGUAGCGGUGAAAUGCGCAGAUAUCAGGAGGAACACCGAUUGCGAAGGCAGCUCGCUGGGACGUCACUGACGCUCAUGCACGAAAGCGUGGGGAGCAAACAGG
This 253-nucleotide ribosomal RNA is filed under the name uncultured bacterium. RNAcentral's name for it is "partial 16S ribosomal RNA". It matches the Rfam family "Bacterial small subunit ribosomal RNA", at positions 524 to 776 of the family's 1533-position model. The record is from RNAcentral.